Molecule: ribosomal RNA, 223 nt
Filed under: uncultured Lactobacillus sp.
Lineage: Bacteria; Bacillati; Bacillota; Bacilli; Lactobacillales; Lactobacillaceae
Description: partial 16S ribosomal RNA
Rfam family: Bacterial small subunit ribosomal RNA
Source: RNAcentral
CGGGAUAACACCUGGAAACAGAUGCUAAUACCGGAUAACAACAGAUGAUGCCUAUCAACUGUUUAAAAGAUGGUUCUGCUAUCACUCUUGGAUGGACCUGCGGUGCAUUAGCUAGUUGGUAGGGUAACGGCCUACCGAGGCGAUGAUGCAUAGCCGAGUUGAGAGACUGAUCGGCCACAUUGGGACUGAGACACGGCCCAAACUCCUACGGGAGGCAGCAGCC